RNAcentral lists this ribosomal RNA (497 nucleotides) under uncultured bacterium. Its description in RNAcentral is "partial 16S ribosomal RNA". It matches the Rfam family "Bacterial small subunit ribosomal RNA", at positions 28 to 507 of the family's 1533-position model. The record is from RNAcentral.
GAUGAACGCUGGCGGCGUGCCUAAUACAUGCAAGUCGAGCGAACAGAUGAGGAGCUUGCUCCUCUGACGUUAGCGGCGGACGUGUGAGUAACACGUGGAUAACCUACCUAUAAGACUGGGAUAACUUCGGGAAACCGGAGCUAAUACCGGAUAAUAUCUUGAACCGCAUGGUUCAAUAGUGAAAGACGGUUUUGCUGUCACUUAUAGAUGGAUCCGCGCCGCAUUAGCUAGUUGGUACGUUAACGGCUUACCAAGGCAACGAUGCGUAGCCGACCUGAGAGGGUGAUAGGCCACACUGGAACUGAGACACGGUCCAGACUCCUACGGGAGGCAGCAGUAGGGAAUCUUCCGCAGUGGGCGAAAGCUUGACGGAGCAACGCCGCGUGAGUGAUGAAGGUCUUCGGAUCGUAAAACUCUGUUAUUAGGGAUGAACAAAUGUGUAAGUAACUAUGCACGUCUUGACGGUACCUAAUCAGAAAGCCACGGCUAACUACGUG